Molecule: long non-coding RNA, 293 nt
Organism: Oncorhynchus keta (chum salmon)
Lineage: Eukaryota; Metazoa; Chordata; Actinopteri; Salmoniformes; Salmonidae
Exons: 3
Source: RefSeq, a predicted model, not a curated record
UCUCUGUUACAGCUGGGCCCUGACCGAGGUCUCUGUUACAGCUGGGCCCUGACCAAGGUCUCUGUUACAGCUGGGCCCUGACCAAGGUCUCUGUUACAGCUGGGCCCUGACCAAGGUCUCUGUUACAGCUGGGCCCUGACCGAGGUCUCUGUUACAGCUGGGCCCUGACCAAGGUCUCUGUUACAGCUGGGCCCUGACCAAGGUCUCUGUUACAGCUGGGCCCUGACCAAGGUCUCUGUUACAGCUGGGCCCUGCGUAUACAUGUUUACACGUACAGUUUAGGUACAAUGAUU